RNAcentral lists this non-coding RNA (18 nucleotides) under Arabidopsis thaliana (thale cress). The record is from RNAcentral. Lineage: Eukaryota; Viridiplantae; Streptophyta; Magnoliopsida; Brassicales; Brassicaceae.
CUAACGGCGUGCCUCGGC